This 253-nucleotide ribosomal RNA is filed under the name uncultured bacterium. RNAcentral's name for it is "partial 16S ribosomal RNA". It matches the Rfam family "Bacterial small subunit ribosomal RNA", at positions 524 to 776 of the family's 1533-position model. The record is from RNAcentral.
UACGGAGGAUGCAAGCGUUAUCCGGAAUGAUUGGGCGUAAAGCGUCCGCAGGUGGCUAUGUAAGUCUGCUGUUAAAGAGUGAGGCUCAACCUCAUAAGAGCAGUGGAAACUACAUGGCUAGAGUGCGUUCGGGGCAGAGGGAAUUCCCAGUGUAGCGGUGAAAUGCGUAGAUAUUGGGAAGAACACCGGUGGCGAAAGCGCCUUGCUGGACCUGCACUGACACUGAGGGACGAAAGCUAGGGGAGCGAAAGGG